GAUGAACGCUGGCGGCGUGCCUAAUACAUGCAAGUCGAGCGAACAGACGAGGAGCUUGCUCCUCUGACGUUAACGGCGGACGGGUGAGUAACACGUGGAUAACCUACCUAUAAGACUGGGAUAACUUCGGGAAACCGGAGCUAAUACCGGAUAAUAUAUUGAACCGCAUGGUUCAAUAGUGAAAGACGGUUUUGCUGUCACUUAUAGAUGGAUCCGCGCCGCAUUAGCUAGUUGGUAAGGUAACGGCUUACCAAGGCGACGAUGCGUAGCCGACCUGAGAGGGUGAUCGGCCACACUGGAACUGAGACACGGUCCAGACUCCUACGGGAGGCAGCAGUAGGGAAUCUUACGCAAUGGGCGAAAGCCUGACGGAGCAACGCCGCGUGAGUGAUGAAGGUCUUCGGAUCGUAAAACUCUGUUAUUAGGGAAGAACAAAUGUGUAAGUAACUAUGCACGUCUUGACGGUACCUAAUCAGAAAGCCACGGCUAACUACGUG
This 497-nucleotide ribosomal RNA is filed under the name uncultured bacterium. RNAcentral describes it as "partial 16S ribosomal RNA". It matches the Rfam family "Bacterial small subunit ribosomal RNA", at positions 28 to 507 of the family's 1533-position model. The record is from RNAcentral.